Molecule: ribosomal RNA, 32 nt
Filed under: Platanus occidentalis var. occidentalis
Lineage: Eukaryota; Viridiplantae; Streptophyta; Magnoliopsida; Proteales; Platanaceae
Source: RNAcentral
GGGUGCGAUCAUACCAGCACUAAUGUACCGGA